RNAcentral lists this long non-coding RNA (4783 nucleotides) under Homo sapiens (human). RNAcentral describes it as "HSALNT0083853". The record is from RNAcentral. Lineage: Eukaryota; Metazoa; Chordata; Mammalia; Primates; Hominidae.
CCUAGGGUGACCCUUCAUUUCCCGGCCGCUCCGCUCAGACUCCUCAAGCUUCCUGCUGCCUCCAAUGCAAUGGUGGAGGAUGAGCUCCACUAAGGAACACAUCCGGCUCACAGAUCUGGCUGGCAUUGCUCUGUCUUGUAACAGCAGCUGCUUUCCCGGCUCUAAGCUCCAAGUGCUAUCACCUUCAGUUGACCAGCUGCGUCUUUGUCCCUCCCCACAUCACUUUCUGCAGCCAGGGCAGCACUCCUGGACAGGAAGCCAUGAACUUGCAAUUCCACCAUUUCUUCCAGUUGCUUUUGGAGAAUUCAGUUUCAAAGUGCGAGUUGAGGAUAACAUUCUGGCUUUCAGAAAUCAUAAAUAAUGAACGGCACAUUUGAGUCAUUAUCGGUGGUUAUCCCUCUUAGAGUCCUCUUUGGUGUGCUCCGACCUAAGGCACCCGUGGAGAAGGAGAAGGAGAUCUCAAGAGGAAAAAUCAAUGCAGGAACAAAGAAACUCUUGGGUCUAGUGAAGAGAGACUGGAUCUUGCUAGGCGAGUCAGGGAUGGGGAGCUGGAACUGGGAAAUGUUAAUUUGCAAGGGUCCCCUGUGUAGCAAGAGGAAACUGCACAUCCCUCUAGCCUGAACUCUGUCUUCAGAUCCCAGCUUCCUACACUCUCACCUGGAGAACUCCCCAAGUUCUUUCUUCUCCUUCAACAUUCCCAACAUCUGGGCUUCCUCUGGGUCCUGGUUUCAGAUGAUUUUCACAUGUCCAUUUCUUGCUUCUACCCUGGGUGAGUUAAAUUUGGAUGACAAUACCCAGAUCUUACAGUUUGAAGGAGAAUUAAAUGGAAUAAUAUGUGCAGAAGUGUUUCGUCAACAGCAAAGUGCAUUUAAAGGCAGAAUGUGCAUGUGAGACAGCCAAGUGUAAAGGGGUCCCCAGAGAAACUCCAACCGACCUGCACACUGGAAGGAGUGUGCACUGGGGUGGAGCCUCGGGAAGUUCCUGCCCUUUGCCGUAGGGAAGGAGCCUGGCCUCUCCUGUUCAGAGAUGGAAGCAGGAACUCAAUCUGUGAGGUGGGAAGCCUGUACUUGCAGGACUCUCACUCUGCUGAGUCCCUGUUUCCAGUUUUUCCCAUUUUUGCCCAAUAAAUUCUUUUUUUCUCACCCUUCACAGUGUUUGUGAGCCCAAUAUUUCACGGCCAUGUGACAAGGACCCAGCUCUUAGAUGAACUAAGGAGAAGGUACUACAACAUUUUUGGUGCUCAUAAUGUGAGGCUUGAGAAGGGUGAGUGAGAUGUAAACCAAGAAAUCUUUUUCCCUCUCAUUUCUAAGUCUUUUCAUCCUUGGACAUCUGAGGAUAGAGGAAACCAUGCCCCCACCUCCACUGGGGGUUGGGGGCCUGUCCAUGUCCUUUUUCUUCCUUUUGUGGAAUGGCCAGGUGAGCAGCAGCUCCCUACCACCAUCCCCUCCCUGCCAGGGCUGGGACACAUGGCCCAAGAAGCCCCAGGCUGCUGGUUGGUGUUUUCUCCUCCGUGCCCAUGGAGUUUCCAUUUUCCCUGGCCAGGGAGGCCAGCUCCAUCCCAAAGCAAUUAAGCUUUUCUCCCGGGUGGAGGAACCAGUUGCAUAAGAAUAAGAGGUUCUUCCCCAGGCAUUUUUAAACUUUUUUUUUUUUUCAUCCCUUUCUCCACUCUGUCAGCAGUUAACUUUUAAAAAGGAAAAAGCAAGGUUUUUCCUUUUAGAAGACGUUUUACUAGGCUAGGAAUGAUAAGAAUCACUGUUAUAUCCUCUGUAAAGUUUUAAUUGUGAAAAAGGAUUUGUGAGGCUGGUCUUAAGCUAUAGCCAAUCUGGUGUACUUUGCAUGUCUAUAUGGCUUGCAGCAAACUUCACUGCAGGCAUCCGUCUUGUUUUACAUCCUGGGGCCGUGGCCUAUAGCCCCAUGGCAAGGUUUUGUUUAGAUAUCCUGCCUUAGGAAAUGAUUCCUUUCUGGUUUAAUAUCUGCAUGUUUUCCUAGCCCCUUCUCUUAAAGGGCUCCACCCAGCAACUGGGUUUUCUUCUGCCUGUCUGUGUAGUUAUACAUGUGUUGUGCAUAAUGAUACCUGUAAAAAGAGCUCUAAUUAACUUGGCCUAAAGGAAGACAUGUGCUUGGAUAAAAUAUUUUUUAAAGGGAAGAGCUGUGGUUCCUUUCAGUUCACAUGACUUUAAUCUCUGAGAAAUAAAAACAGCCUUAAAGAUUAUUGGUAAAAUGCAGAUGCCAUCAAAAUGUAAACAGGUGGGCUUAAAUUGUGCAGGUCAGAUGCAAGAUUUGCUAAGUGUUUUAAGGUUGUAAACUGCCUUUUGGGUUUUGAGAACUAUUUAACUUGUUAGCUCCACAAUUGGUAAGGCCUAGGGACAUACGGAACUAACCACAACCUUAAUUAUGCUGGAAGGAGUCAAAGCUUGGCUGCACUUAGCAUGCAAUUAAAACAACUUACCAGGUUUUACAUUAAAGUUAACAUUGGUAAAAGUUACCAUUAUGACAUGUAAUUGAAACUACUGAAAAUAGAUUUAUAUGCAAAAUGCGUAAAAACAGUAAAAUGUGUUUUUAGUAAGAGAUUAUAAAAAAGCAUGAAAAUGUAAACUCUUACCCAGGGUUAAGAAUUGUUUUGAAUUAGGAUAAAGCCGAAGAUUCAAACACAUUCUGAAAGGUUUCUAAAAAUUAAUCUUGCAGAAGAAAUUCUGUGUGUAAACAUUAACUAAAUUCAAAAGGGUUUUAUAUAGUUUUUCUGUAAAUUGAGCAUUGAAAUAAAAGCACAAUAAGGUUUUCUUAAGGCACUGGUCUGCUCUUUAGCAAAAUUUGUACAGGAUUAUAAAAGGUUUUUGCUUCUUUAAAAUUUCUGAGUCAUCAUUUUGGCAAAAUAAAUAACUUAUGGCAAUCUGGAAUUCUAUUUCAUUACAUCAAGUGUUUUAAACCUCUAACACAUUUCAGAGCCUUCCCAAAAUCAAACUACAGUUUCAAAAUUGUCUUUCCUGAAACCUUCUUUUUGGAAGCUCCAGAAGGGCCCCCAGAGUGCCCAGAAAAGAGAUGUAAACAGGAUUAUUUGAUAUGUUAGGCACAUGAGAUUGCCAAAAUGAUGUUCAAUCUUCUUUAGGUUAUAUUUUUGUGAAUAAGGCUAAUAUAUGUUCCAAAAUUGUAUGGGAUUUCUAAAAUUCUAAACUCUGAGUAUAUGCUAUCAAACACAGUUAAGGUUUUUAAGUUGUUGUAAGCCACAGAGAUAAGCAAACUUGUCAAUUGUGUUUCUAACUGUGACUACCGUGAACAUUUUGUUAUUCACAGACAAUUGGUGUUUUGUUUUAAUCCUUUUCAAAAGAUAGUUUAUAAUAAGUGAUAGCACUCUGAAACGUACUCUUAAAUACAGGUUUCUGAUAACUUUGGAGGUUGUGACAUUGGAAUAAAGGAAAAUGUACAGGACUCAUGAAAGCUAAAAUGUUCAUGAAUAUCAAGCAAAACAAGUAUUAACUAAAUGGACUGAACUCAGAAAGCUGAAGCAAACUGUUUGACUUUUUCUUGGAGUAUUGCUGAUCCUUGUUUUGAUUUUCAGAGUCAAGGAAACUUAUUUUGAACUAUUUAUGGCCAUUAAUAAUUGAGUAAGGUAUACUCCUGUGAACAAAAUUUGUAGCAUAUUUUCUGUCUCUGGCUGGCUUCUCCAGAAUUUGGAAACUAUCUGUGAGUAUUCAUAACUUAUGGAAAUAUACUUGUUUGCAUCAAUGCAGUAAGAAUUCACUUUUCUUUUGCAACAGGAUGCAAUUGGAGAAACUGGUUGUUUUAUCAAGGCUUGGACUGAAAGUGUAUGCUUCCCCUUAAAGGAGUCAAGCUCGACUUGUAGACCUGAUAAGAGCCCCUUAGGAGAAACUAGCCUCAUACCCUUGCCUACACAGUCCCUGUACAGGGUUCCUGGCCUGUGUUCAAUAAAGAAUGUCACUUUCUAACAGGCCUAGGAGCUCCAAGUUUAUCUUGGGACCUUAAGAGGAGAGGAUCACUCAACUCACAGGUAUUUGAAGAUACAAACCCAUGACUGGGUUCAGCUUUAAAAGGUCUUACCUGAGACUCCUUGUGGAAUAGAGUUCCAUCAAAGCCAAUCUAAAAGGCCUAUGUAGAAAUAGUUAUUCUUGCUGCACUUUAUACAAAUAAACAGGCCAAGUAUAAGACUAAAGUCUAUUCUGCAAACAACUCAGUCCUAUCAUGAUUUGUUUCUCUCUCUUUUUUUUUUUUUUUUUUAGCAAAAAUGGGGACUGGAGAGAGAGAAAUUAUCUUUCAAAACUUAUACAUUUGUCAUUAAAUUCUAAACUCACUAGUUGUUUUUAAGUAUUGCCUACAUUUUUAGACUAACCCUGCUUAUUCCUGUGAACCUACCAGCAAUCUCUGGCUGCAGCUCAGAAAGGAAAAGAGGGAUGGGUAAUGUAAAAAUCUGGAUCAAUAUUCUAGUACUGUGCAAUUUUCCUGCAAAUCCUGCCAAGUGAUGCGUAUAAAUAGGAUGCCUAUCACCUGGAGGUUUCCGUUUGGGGAGGUAAGAUCAAGGGGGCUAACCAAAGCCAAGCACCAUGCACCCAAAUCCUAGCAAGCGUAACUGUAGCCACCAGUUAUCUGGGUGUGUCACAAGACAUCUUUUCUCUCCCUUGUUGGAGGAGGAUUUAAUCACACAGCUUCACCUUAGCAUUCAGCUUAUGAUAAGGAGUCCAUGCAACCCCCAGGAGACACAUUUUUGUCCCAAACUCAAUUCCAAGCUUUGGGUCAAAGCCUUAGGAAGAAAACUGGAUCUAAGGGAUCC